AAGACUAUUCUUUGAGGGAUCAUUUCUAUAGUCACUAGGUCAUUUCUGUAGUUCGUCACUAGAGCAGUUUCUCUGACUGGUUAGAGCACUCAAGACAAGGACAACAAGACAUAGCGCUCCCCACUGAGUGUGAAGGCAGCCGCUCCAGGCGCUGCUCUGUUGCACCUCCUCCUCUUCCUUUGGGAGAGGGAGAGAAUGCAGUCUGGGUGGA
Small nucleolar RNA from Microtus ochrogaster (prairie vole), 211 nucleotides. RefSeq annotates it as small nucleolar RNA U3. The record is from RefSeq and is a predicted model, not a curated record. Lineage: Eukaryota; Metazoa; Chordata; Mammalia; Rodentia; Cricetidae.